Molecule: non-coding RNA, 2786 nt
Organism: Oncorhynchus mykiss (rainbow trout)
Lineage: Eukaryota; Metazoa; Chordata; Actinopteri; Salmoniformes; Salmonidae
Source: RefSeq, a predicted model, not a curated record
UCCAAUUCCCCUCUUCACAAAAAAAUGCCGGUGCUCGUCAUUGCUUUUGCACCAAUUGACCCCACACAGCAAGUAAGGCAAUGUAUACAGUAUUAUGUAGAGUAGCGCACCAGUCUCUCAGGCUUGACCCUCUCACCCCUGUCCUCCCCUAUAAGCCUAAAGGUCAUAUCAUAAAGAGAUUGUCUCCAGAUAAUAGAGUACAGAAACAUCAACUCUCUCCAUCUGUUCUCCUGCCUGCUGGGAGUUGAGUGGAUCUAAUAGUGUGGCAUUAAGCUCCACUGUAGAUUCCUCAAAAGUUUUUCAUUACAGAAAUCUAUAUCAAUCCCCUUCCCUCCUGUCAAACUAAUGCGUUGUUAGAUCCCCAAUGACCCUCUGGAACACAUCUCUCUGGGUUUCACCAGAGAAUGGCUGGUGCCCAUACAGCAGCUAAAACUUUAUGUGACGCGCUUAGCUACCUGAUGAAUAUUCUCCCAGCGUUUCUGUUUCCCUGUAACAUCUCUACUACCUCGCUCACCAACCAACAGUUGACCUGCAGGGGAAACCUUCUAACCCAGGCCUUUAGAAAGAGACAAGGAGAGGAGGGGCAGAGGUGUUGGAGGCAAAUCAGAGGAAUUAACUGUCUUUAACAGAGAAGUCAUGGUGUAAGCCUGCCGUAUGUAUAAUUUACAGUAUGUACCAUUUACAGUAUGUAUAAUUUACAGUAUGUAUCAUUUACAGUAUGUAUCAUUUACAGUAUGUAUCAUUUACAGUAGGUAUCAUUUACAGUAUGUACCAUUUACAGUAUGUAUCAUUUACAGUAGGUAUCAUUUACAGUAUGUACCAUUUACAGUAUGUACCAUUUACAGUAUGUAUCAUUUACAGUAGGUAUCAUUUACAGUAUGUACCAUUUACAGUAUGUGUCUUUUACAGUUGGUAUAAUUCCACAUGACCUAUGGGAUGGUUGUGCAUCUGGAAAAUGUCCCCUAGUCUAGAAUGUUCCUUAGCCUAGAAUGUUCCCUAGUCUAGAAUGUUCCCUAGUCUAGAAUGUUCCCUAGUCUAGAAUGUUCCCUAGCCUAGAAUGUUCCCUAGCCUGGAAUGUUCCCUAGCCUAGAAUGUUCCCUAGCCUAGAAUGUUCCCUAGCCUAGAAUGUUCCGUAGCCUAGAAUGUUACCUAGCCUAGUAUGUUCGCUAGCCUAAUUGUAUUCCCUAGCCUAGAAUGUUACCUAGCCUAGUAUGUUUCCUAGCCUAUUGUAUUCCCUAGCCUAGAAUGUUCCCUAGCCUAGUAUGUUCCCUAGCCUAGAAUGUUCCCUAGCCUAGAAUGUUCCCUAGCCUAGAAUGUUCCCUAGCCUAGUAUGUUCCCUAGCCUAGUAUGUUCCCUAGCCUAGAAUCUUCCCUAGCCUAGAAUGUUCCCUAGCCUAGUAUGUUCCCUAGCCUAGUAUGUUCCCUAGCCUAGAAUGUUCCCUAGCCUAGAAUGUUCCCUUUCAUUUAAAAGUAGAGAAUUAUGUUGUUUAUUUUCUUUUCAUUUGUUUGUUUCUUCAUAAUCAUACUGCUGGCAAUGGAGGAGAAAGGUGUUGAUACAUGUUCCUAAUUGGUUUCCAACUCUGUUUCCGGUCUCUUGUUAAUACGAUGAGGUAAUCUGCCAACUCAUUACGUUCAGCACAUAGUUAACUAUGAACCGUUCAUCCCUCUGGAGAACUAAGGUUGUAUUAAUUAAUCACUGAUGUAGGCAGGCGUCCCAAAAGGUAAGGCACCCUAUUCCCUAUAUAGUGCACUACUAUUGACCAGAGCCCAUAGGGCUGUGGUUAAAAGUAGUGUAAUAUGUAGGGAAUAGGGUGCCAUUUGGAGCACAGAACCAUAGAGUGAUCAUAGUAGUAUCUCUCUAGAGCAGUGUCUUACUCUGUGAGCAUACUGGCAAAAUAAGAAAGCCUUGUCCAAGCCAGAGUGAACCAAAGGACAGGAGCCUGCCUCCUGUUUCUGAAGAGUGAGGCAACUUAAUGUACUAGUACACCCCCUUGUCCAAGCCAGAGUGAACCAAAGGGCAGGAGCCUGUCUCCUGUUUCUGAAGAGUGAGGCAACUUAAUGUACUAGUACACCCCCUUGUCCAAGCCAGAGCGAACCAAAGGGCAGGAGCCUGUCUCCUGUUUCUGAAGAGUGAGGCAACUUAAUGUACUAGUACUACCCCUGGACAGGACACUAGUCUGUCUGACUGUACUGGUAUAUAUUACUAUACUAGUACACCCCCUGGACAGGACACUAGUCUGUCUGACUAUACUGGUAUAUAUUAAUGUACUAGUACACCCCCUGGACAAGACACUAGUCUGUCUGACUAUACUGGUAUAUAUUAAUGUACUAGUACACUCCCUGGACAGGACACUAGUCUGUCUGACUAUACUGGUAUAGAUUACUGUACUAGUACUACCCCUGGACAGGACACUACUCUGUCUGACUAUACUGGUAUAGAGUGUAUAUUUGAUUGCGUUAACAUAUCGUGAAUACCAGAGGUGUCACAACACAACAACUGUCACGUGACCUAUACCUACAGGGAAGGAGCUGUGCUUCUCUGUCGUAUUGUGUUUGCACUGGAUCAAUGUGAACGAAUGUAAACAAUGUUAUGUUGUAAAUGUGCCUGGUUUUGUACCCCAUGUUUAUCCAUGUGUAUUGGUUGAUAUGAUAAGCUAUGUGUUAUGUAUGUAAGUUAAAAAAAAAGCUAAACAUUGUUUUGAAUAUAUGAUCACAUUAAUAAUACCGAGAAUAUGCAACCAUGUUAAAUAUGCUAAUCAUGUAUAAUAAAAUAAGAAUAUAGAUACA